GUCUGACGCAGCAACGCCGCGUGAGGGAUGAAGGCCUUCGGGUUGUAAACCUCUUUUAUCAGGGAAGAUAAUGACGGUACCUGAUGAAUAAGUCACGGCUAACUACGUGCCAGCAGCCGCGGUAAUACGUAGGUGACAAGCGUUGUCCGGAUUUACUGGGCGUAAAGAGCGCGCAGGCGGUCGUUCAAGUCGAGUGUGAAAGCCCCCGGCUCAACUGGGGAGGGUCACUCGAUACUGAUCGACUCGAAGGCAGGAGAGGGAAGUGGAAUUCCCGGUGUAGUGGUGAAAUGCGUAGAUAUCGGGAGGAACACCAGUGGCGAAGGCGACUUCCUGGCCUGUUCUUGACGCUGAGGCGCGAAAGCUAGGGGAGCAAACAGGAUUAGAUACCCCGGUAGUCCUAGCCGUAAACGAUGGACACUAGGUGUUGGUGGUAUCAACCCCGCCAGUGCCGAAGCUAACGCAUUAAGUGUCCCGCCUGGGGAGUACGGCCGCAAGGCUA
Molecule: ribosomal RNA, 499 nt
Filed under: uncultured Acidobacteriota bacterium
Lineage: Bacteria; Pseudomonadati; Acidobacteriota
Description: bacterial SSU rRNA
Rfam family: Bacterial small subunit ribosomal RNA
Source: RNAcentral